RNAcentral lists this ribosomal RNA (580 nucleotides) under Klebsiella pneumoniae. RNAcentral's name for it is "partial 23S ribosomal RNA". It matches the Rfam family "Bacterial large subunit ribosomal RNA", at positions 2363 to 2925 of the family's 2925-position model. Lineage: Bacteria; Pseudomonadati; Pseudomonadota; Gammaproteobacteria; Enterobacterales; Enterobacteriaceae. The record is from RNAcentral.
GCUAGCUUGACUGCGAGCGUGACGGCGCGAGCAGGUGCGAAAGCAGGUCAUAGUGAUCCGGUGGUUCUGAAUGGAAGGGCCAUCGCUCAACGGAUAAAAGGCACUCCGGGGAUAACAGGCUGAUACCGCCCAAGAGUUCAUAUCGACGGCGGUGUUUGGCACCUCGAUGUCGGCUCAUCACAUCCUGGGGCUGAAGUAGGUCCCAAGGGUAUGGCUGUUCGCCAUUUAAAGUGGUACGCGAGCUGGGUUUAGAACGUCGUGAGACAGUUCGGUCCCUAUCUGCCGUGGGCGCUGGAGAAUUGAGGGGGGCUGCUCCUAGUACGAGAGGACCGGAGUGGACGCAUCACUGGUGUUCGGGUUGUCAUGCCAAUGGCACUGCCCGGUAGCUAAAUGCGGAAGAGAUAAGUGCUGAAAGCAUCUAAGCACGAAACUUGCCCCGAGAUGAGUUCUCCCUGAGACUAUAAGUCUCCUGAAGGAACGUUGAAGACGACGACGUUGAUAGGCCGGGUGUGUAAGCGCAGCGAUGCGUUGAGCUAACCGGUACUAAUGAACCGUGAGGCUUAACCUUACAACGCCGAAG